Molecule: long non-coding RNA, 739 nt
Filed under: Brassica rapa (field mustard)
Lineage: Eukaryota; Viridiplantae; Streptophyta; Magnoliopsida; Brassicales; Brassicaceae
Description: long non-coding RNA (BRAP_LNC005620)
Source: RNAcentral
UUAGAUUUGUAUUCUUAAACCAACUAAAAAUAGAAUUAGGGUUUUGUUUUCACUAAUCACGUUGGUGUAGGAUUAGGGUUCAGUUUUUUUUUAGCUUAAACUAAAGUGUACCCACGACCUGAAUCAAGCAAUAAACUAUUUCCAGUCAAAAUUCCUCCUUUGGAGAUACGUUACCUUUGUUCAGCCUUGAACAUUACCUUCACAUUAAAGAGAGUGAUCUCUCAUGAACCAUCCAUGGCAUAACUAAGCAGGGUGAUCAUGUGUCAUAAGAGCAGCAAAUCGUUCUGAGAGCAUCCCAUAGCUCUAUAUAUGGUGAAGUUCACAAUCCAUCCAAGAUUGAUAGUAUCCUCUUGAUCCCUUCACCCACGCCUACUCAAGUGUUCCAGGGAAAGAAGCUAACCCCUUUCUCAAAAAAAAGAAAAAAGAAAAAAGAAGCCUAUCAAAGGUGGCACAAAAUGGUAUUAGAGCCACUUGAAGGUUAGGGUUUGUAUUCUUAUUCUUGUUUCAAAAAAAUAAUCUAUCUAUCUAUCUAUCUUAAACACUUUAUUCUCUGUCUAUAUUUUGUAAGUCAAACCAAGACAUCGUUUGAAUGGAAAUAGAAAGAAAAAUAAAGUUCAGAAGAAACGAGAACAGAGAUCAAACGAUCCAAAAAAAAAAACAAAGAAAAUGCGUAGGAGAAAUCGGGCUAGCUAGGAUAGGUCAUUCGGUUUGACACCAAAAAUCCUUCGGUCUACCUAUC